UAGCAGGCGAUGAUGGGGAGAGUAUGGCCGCCGCUUCUUUCGACAGAGAGCCGGGCUUGGUGGAAACCGGCGAAAGGCCGCAGCCAGAAAGCCACCCUGGAGCCGUCGGGCCGAACGGACAAAGUAAGCCUGACCGUAUCCUGGCGUUAACAGGAUCAAAGGGAGCCGGACGCUUGCCGGCUAAUAUAGGUGGUACCGCGGGAACCAAAGUUCUCGUCCUUGAA
This 224-nucleotide non-coding RNA is filed under the name Thermosinus carboxydivorans. RNAcentral describes it as "T-box sequence". It matches the Rfam family "T-box leader". From Rfam's summary of the family: Uncharged tRNA acts as the effector for transcription antitermination of genes in the T-box leader family. T-boxes are found upstream of many aminoacyl-tRNA synthetase genes and some amino acid biosynthetic genes usually in Gram-positive bacteria. The anticodon of a specific tRNA base pairs to a specifier sequence within the T-box motif, and the NCCA acceptor tail of the tRNA base pairs to a conserved bulge in the T-box antiterminator hairpin. The record is from RNAcentral. Lineage: Bacteria; Bacillati; Bacillota; Negativicutes; Selenomonadales; Sporomusaceae.